Long non-coding RNA from Cavia porcellus (domestic guinea pig), 4188 nucleotides. RefSeq lists it as uncharacterized. The transcript has 2 exons. Lineage: Eukaryota; Metazoa; Chordata; Mammalia; Rodentia; Caviidae. The record is from RefSeq and is a predicted model, not a curated record.
AACCUUUAUUUUGGGAAUGUGGGGAGAGAACGAACACCCCUGACCCCCUGGGGCGUGGCAUCUCCACCCCGAGGCAGGCGAUCUCUCUGUGGAACACGUGGAGUGAGGCACAUAAGUAGCCUCAGCUUGGGGUGGAACCCAAGGGGGCAUUAGGGAUGCACAGGUAGCCCAUUGGUCUUAGUUUGGCGCAGGAGGCAAUUCCUAAGGGUGGGGGAGAUAGGAGCUUCCUGGUUUUACCGGCUACAGUAUCCGGCCUGGGCCAGCAACCCUUUCAGGGUGCAUCCCUGGGUCCCUGGCUUCUGGCCAGGGGACAUUUGUCUCAGAUGCAGCUGUUACCUAACUGCAGUGGAGCAGAGGUGGGGUCCCUGUGAGCUCAGCAGCUGGGGCUGCCAGCACCAUCAGAGGAAGGAAAAGCACGGGGAAUCUCAGGCGCUGCUGCAGGCCUAGGGAACCACAGGGGCCUCUGCGGGAGCCUUGGUUUUCAUUAUGAGCUGCUGGCUGGCUGCUGCUGUGCAAAUUAACCAGAGCCAGCCAGGGCUGUGUUGCAGAUCAUUUACACAGGAGAGUGAGUGAUUGGGAGCGAAGCAGAAAGUGCAGCAUUGGUGGGAGCUGGGAGAGCAGCCUGGGUAAAAAGGCAGGAUCCCAGGCCGGCUCCACGGGAAACACUGGCGUCCAAACAGGACAGAGCUGGGGAUACCACACCCUGAUCCGGGAACUCGGAAGGUGUUCUGAAGUGCCAGCCCUGCCAGGCUUAAAACUCUGGCCUCGUCUACUGCUGAGCUGUUUGCAACCUUGAGUGUAUAUUCGUUUUCCCAUCUCUUAAAUGGGAGUAAAUGGAACAGCAAUGUAUUUGGUGGGUACCAUUAUGAGAAUUGAAUAAAAUGAGUCAUUGUUUUUAAAGUGUUAAUAGUGCCCGGCACAUGCUCAAUGCUACUUAUUUUCAGAGCUAGAUGAGUAAAAUUCUGCUGGUGAUAGGCUUCUGCCCUAGGAAACGGACAGAGCUGCCUUUUAUCUUGCUUAGAAGCUUCUCUCAAAAGAUGGGUGGUCAGACGCUGGGCGGCUCUGAUGACAAAGGUCUAUACAAAGAUUUGAGGCUUUCAGAAAGGAAAAAGAAAGUAUAAUUUUUAAAAACUGAGUUGGUAAAUGUAAGCUGAAAGAAAGAUCUGAAUGAAAGCAUGAAGAGGAAUCAGCUGUCUUUAAAUAUUAAGGUAUGUUGAUUAGUACCGCAGCUAAUUCCUUGUUUUGCCAUAUGCUUAUUUUACAGGAGCCUGAGCAUUUCCUGUUACUCUAGGAAGCUCCCAUUACCUGUCCUCCAGUGCUGCCUCUCACUCUGAAACGGCUCCCUGAAUCUCAUAGCUGCUUUCCUGUUUCAGAGCUGUGUCUGUCCUCUUGAAUUACUGCAUGAGUCUUCUGAUUUCUUCCGGUCCUUCUUUGGUCCGUUUUCAACUUGGACCACAUCAUUACCUUGCUUAAGGUCAAUGCUGUGGACUAACGCUCAGGAUAAAUCGCAGAUGUCUUCCUGCCACUCAGAGCGAGAGUAACACACCGUUCCUUCCUCCCCGAGUUACUGGACUGAAGCUGCAUCUGCCUGCUUUCUGCAUCUUGAACUCCAGAGCCUUCAUUUUGCUUUGAUUUGCUUUUUCCUCUGCCUGGAGCAUUGUUUCCUGUUCCCUACUGCUGCUGCAAGUAGACAGUUGUUGCUUCUUUUAGUGCCACAUCUUGGAUCAGAAGCAACAACUCCCCGAGUUACUGGACUGAAGCCUCUGGUGGUUCACGCUACCUUUGCAUUAUUUAUUCCUCAUUGGCUUGAUUCUAUUACUCAGCUAUUUUCUCUUUUUGGAAUUCUUAUUCAUUGAUUGGUUGGUUUGUCCCUGCCCACACCAUGCUAAGCUCCAUAAGACUGUGUCUUAUUAUUCCUAAGUCCUGCUCCCUGACCCAAAAUUCUGUCUGGCACAAUAUUUACCAAAUGGUACAGAAUAAGUACCAACAAUGCAGAAUGUUUGACCAAUCAGAAAUGAUAUCAGCCAUUUGACUCUAAAAUAUAAAAGCUUCUAAUGAGUACAUGUUGAUAUACCUGUUUUACAAAUGGAAAAAACAAUUCUUGUGAUUGUUCAGUGUCCUAUUGCUGCUUACUAAUAAAACAAGGUCAGGCAUUUAAUAUAUUAUUUUCCUGAAUAAACCUUUUGCACACUAAACAGGUGCAGUAACAAAGGCUAAGUUUUUCUAAAAUAUGAAUGUGAACAAGCAGCCCUGCCUGUGUGACUUGCCCCCACUCGACUUCCUAGUGUUAACUGUAAAAUGAUUUUAACAGUAGAAUUCACGAGUUUGAACAUACUUUUUAGCUUAAGAAACUUGUUUAUGGGGAUUGCUGGUGUGGAAAUUCAUUCUGUAUGUGGUUUGAAUUUUGCAAAGUUUGUAUUUUCUUAGCAAUUUUGCGAGAGAGACCGAGGUGACAUCUACUUAGUUGCUGGCGGCUGCAGGUUUUAGGAAUAUGGAGGAGCAGGUCUCUGUCACCCUCUACCCUUCCAGGGUUCUGCGUAGGUUGAAAGGGUCCAUUAUAAAGAGGAUCAUGGGGGCUGGGGAUUUAGCUCAGCGGUAUAAGCGCCUGCCUUGCAAGCAGGCAGUCGAGAGUUUGAUCCCUGGUACCGAUAAAAACGAUAAAGACAAGAAAAAAAAAGGAUCAUGGUGGAGGAGACUCUACUCUUGGGAUGGUGGGACAGAAAAGGGGAUGUAAAUACAAGGACAGCGAGGUUAGACUGGAAGGUGAGAAUUAAAGGCAGAAGAAAUUUGAUUGGUUGAUAAGCACAUUACCCUUCAUGGGGACUGUUUUGUUUCUGAAGAUGUCAUUACUCUAGGGGUCUCUAAACCCCAGCAGUAAGUAUGUUUCCUGCUGAUUCCCACCUCCACAACAGUGUCCUGUCCUAACCUUCAUGGGAAGGUCAGCAGCACAAAGCCUUUGAUGGAUCCCUUCUCAGAGAGCCAGGACUUGAUACACACCAGAAAUACAUCACAGCAUUACUUGAAGGUGGUGGCAUGUCCUGAGGAACAGUUCGUUUCCUUAUUAUGCAAACAUUAUGAUGUGUGGUUACAUAAAGCUGCAUGGCAUAGCCUGCUGCAUGCCUAGGUAAUACAUACCUGGGCCUCAUGCAUGCACAGCAAGGUACUGCCCUGAAUAUCAUAGCACCAACAGUACUGUAAUCAUAAGUAUGGGUUGCUGGGUGUGGUGGCAUAUGCCUGUAAUUUCAGUUUUCUGGGAGGCCAAGGCAGGAGGAUCACAAGUUUAAAUCCACCCUGCAUAACUUAGCAACUUAGCAAGACCAUGUUUCAAAAUAUAAUAAAAGGGCUUAGGAUGUAUCUCAGUACAAAGACCGUGGGUUCAAUCCCCUGUGCUGCUACCAAAACAAAAGCAAAACAAAGUGUGUAUUUAAACAUAUCUCAACAUAGAAAUGUACAGGCAAAAUACUAAGUGAAUAGCCACUGUAAUCUUACAGUACCACCAUCAUGCAUGUAGUCUGUUCUUGACUAAAUCAUUGUAUAUACAGAGAUCAAGAGGAACAGUGUGUUUAAACUCUGGAGGCCUCAAUUCAUUUUCUGUGUGUGAAUGGAGGCUGAGACCUGUUACAGGACCCCAGACGAAGACAUUCUCCUUAAACCCAGGGUCUUCCCUGUAAAGUGAAAUGUUUGGAUCAGCUAACUUGUCUGUCUGUUCAGAUCUUUCAGUGGAUGUUAUGCCAGUGCUUCCCAAAGAGCCCAGAACCAGCAGCAUCAGCGUUGGUGCUUCCAGGGACCUUGCUGAAAAUGCCAAGCUGCAGCUCCACCAUGGCUCCGGAUUGGAGUGAAACCAUUCAUCUGCAUAAUGCAGAGCCCUCCAGGAGCUGCCUGUGUCUGCCCAAGUUGGAGACUCUUCUUUCUAGUGGUGGCCUGGAGCUCGACAGGCCACCCCAGGCUCCACAGCCCAGCUCUCCACAGACACCCCCCAGGCACUGGGGACAGAUUUGUCAUGGGGAAACUAUUUCUUGACAUCGAACAGUUUCUCACCUUGGCGAAGGGACUUCAGAGUCUGCGUGAGAUUUUUGUCUUCCACUGCUGUGAGCUGCUGCCCCUCUACCACACCACCCUGCCUUGGAGCCAGCUGAUUAUGGGCUGAAACCUCUGCAAACUGAGCUCAAUAAACCCUACCUUCCUUAA